Molecule: ribosomal RNA, 117 nt
Filed under: Actinomadura physcomitrii
Lineage: Bacteria; Bacillati; Actinomycetota; Actinomycetes; Streptosporangiales; Thermomonosporaceae
Source: RNAcentral
UUCGGUGGUCAUGGCGGAGGGGAAACACCCGGUCCCAUUCCGAACCCGGAAGUUAAGCCCUUCAGCGCCGAUGGUACUGCAUGGGAGACUGUGUGGGAGAGUAGGACACCGCCGGAC